CCACUUUUUUUAAAUCAGGUAAAUAUAUUUACACUUUAAAGGAUCUCCAAUACAAUACAUUCUGUAAUGCAGUUUCUGAGAAAUUUUGUGAACUUCACUGGGAAGAAAAAUUAUUAGCAAAUCUUUAUGGUGCAGCAAAUGGUGAAACGUCUGUACCUGAAAGAAUUAAUGAACCACAAUAUUUGAGCAAGACUUUCCAAAGCAAACCACAUACUUCUCUGAGUGGCAGUGAGGAAGCAAAAGAUAUAAGGAGAAGAAGAGCAAUGGGGAUUUUCAAAUAAAGAUUUAUAUCCUUGGAAAAC
Molecule: long non-coding RNA, 302 nt
Filed under: Naja naja (Indian cobra)
Lineage: Eukaryota; Metazoa; Chordata; Lepidosauria; Squamata; Elapidae
Description: lncRNA (ENSNNAG00000018249.1)
Source: RNAcentral